RNAcentral lists this ribosomal RNA (238 nucleotides) under uncultured bacterium. RNAcentral's name for it is "partial 16S ribosomal RNA". It matches the Rfam family "Bacterial small subunit ribosomal RNA", at positions 96 to 334 of the family's 1533-position model. The record is from RNAcentral.
UGGCGGACGGGUGAGUAACGCGUGGGUAACCUGCCUCAUACAGGGGGAUAACAGUUAGAAAUGACUGCUAAUACCGCAUAAGACCACAGCACCGCAUGGUGCAGGGGUAAAAACUCCGGUGGUAUGAGAUGGACCCGCGUCUGAUUGGGUAGUUGGUGAGGUAACGGCCCACCAAGCCGACGAUCAGUAGCCGACCUGAGAGGGUGACCGGCCACAUUGGGACUGAGACACGGCCCAA